RNAcentral lists this ribosomal RNA (2913 nucleotides) under Klebsiella pneumoniae. RNAcentral describes it as "bacterial LSU rRNA". It matches the Rfam family "Bacterial large subunit ribosomal RNA". The record is from RNAcentral. Lineage: Bacteria; Pseudomonadati; Pseudomonadota; Gammaproteobacteria; Enterobacterales; Enterobacteriaceae.
GGGUUGUGAGGUUAAGCGACUAAGCGUACACGGUGGAUGCCCUGGCAGUCAGAGGCGAUGAAGGACGUGCUAAUCUGCGAAAAGCGUCGGUAAGGUGAUAUGAACCGUUAUAACCGGCGAUGUCCGAAUGGGGAAACCCAGUGUGAUUCGUCACACUAUCGUUAACUGAAUACAUAGGUUAACGAGGCGAACCGGGGGAACUGAAACAUCUAAGUACCCCGAGGAAAAGAAAUCAACCGAGAUUCCCCCAGUAGCGGCGAGCGAACGGGGAGCAGCCCAGAGUCUGAAUCAGCUUGUGUGUUAGUGGAACGGUCUGGAAAGUCCGACGGUACAGGGUGAUAGUCCCGUACACCAAAAUGCACAGGCUGUGAACUCGAAGAGUAGGGCGGGACACGUGGUAUCCUGUCUGAAUAUGGGGGGACCAUCCUCCAAGGCUAAAUACUCCUGACUGACCGAUAGUGAACCAGUACCGUGAGGGAAAGGCGAAAAGAACCCCGGCGAGGGGAGUGAAAAAGAACCUGAAACCGUGUACGUACAAGCAGUGGGAGCACCUUCGGGUGUGACUGCGUACCUUUUGUAUAAUGGGUCAGCGACUUAUAUUCUGUAGCAAGGUUAACCGUAUAGGGGAGCCGCAGGGAAACCGAGUCUUAACUGGGCGUUAAGUUGCAGGGUAUAGACCCGAAACCCGGUGAUCUAGCCAUGGGCAGGUUGAAGGUUGGGUAACACUAACUGGAGGACCGAACCGACUAAUGUUGAAAAAUUAGCGGAUGACUUGUGGCUGGGGGUGAAAGGCCAAUCAAACCGGGAGAUAGCUGGUUCUCCCCGAAAGCUAUUUAGGUAGCGCCUCGUGAACUCAUCUUCGGGGGUAGAGCACUGUUUCGGCUAGGGGGUCAUCCCGACUUACCAACCCGAUGCAAACUACGAAUACCGAAGAAUGUUAUCACGGGAGACACACGGCGGGUGCUAACGUCCGUCGUGAAGAGGGAAACAACCCAGACCGCCAGCUAAGGUCCCAAAGUCAUGGUUAAGUGGGAAACGAUGUGGGAAGGCACAGACAGCCAGGAUGUUGGCUUAGAAGCAGCCAUCAUUUAAAGAAAGCGUAAUAGCUCACUGGUCGAGUCGGCCUGCGCGGAAGAUGUAACGGGGCUAAACCAUGCACCGAAGCUGCGGCAGCGACACUAUGUGUUGUUGGGUAGGGGAGCGUUCUGUAAGCCUGCGAAGGUGUGCUGUGAGGCAUGCUGGAGGUAUCAGAAGUGCGAAUGCUGACAUAAGUAACGAUAAAGGCGGGUGAAAAGCCCGCUCGCCCGGAAGACCAAGGUUCCUGUCCAACGUUAAUCGGGGCAGGGUGAGUCGACCCUAAGGCGAGGCCGAAGGCGUAGUCGAUGGGAAACAGGUUAAUAUUCCUGUACUUGGUGUACUGCGAAGGGGGACGGAGAAGCUAUGUUAGCCGGGCGACGGUUGUCCCGGUUUAAGCAUGUAGGGCUGGUUACCAGGCAAAUCCGGAUAACCAAGCUGAGGUGUGAUGACGAGGCACUACGGUGCUAAGUAACAAAUGCCCUGCUUCCAGGAAAAGCCUCUAAGCAUCAGGUAACAUCAAAUCGUAACCCCAAACCGACACAGGUGUCAGGUAGAGAAUACCAAGGCGCUUGAGAGACUCGGGUGAAGGAACUAGGCAAAAUGGUGCCGUAACUUCGGAGAAGGCACGCUGGUGUGUAGUGAAGGCCCUGCGGAUGGACUGAGACCAGUCGAAGAUACCAGCUGGCUGCAACUGUUUAUUAAAAACACAGCACUGUGCAAACACGAAAGUGGACGUAUACGGUGUGACGCCUGCCCGGUGCCGGAAGGUUAAUUGAUGGGGUUAUCCGUAAGGAGAAGCUCUUGAUCGAAGCCCCGGUAAACGGCGGCCGUAACUAUAACGGUCCUAAGGUAGCGAAAUUCCUUGUCGGGUAAGUUCCGACCUGCACGAAUGGCGUAAUGAUGGCCAGGCUGUCUCCACCCGAGACUCAGUGAAAUUGAACUCGCUGUGAAGAUGCAGUGUACCCGCGGCAAGACGGAAAGACCCCGUGAACCUUUACUAUAGCUUGACACUGAACAUUGAGCCUUGAUGUGUAGGAUAGGUGGGAGGCUUUGAAGCGUGGACGCCAGUCUGGCGUGGAGCCAACCUUGAAAUACCACCCUUUAAUGUUUGAUGUUCUAACGUUGGCCCCUGACCGGGGUUGCGGACAGUGUCUGGUGGGUAGUUUGACUGGGCGGUCUCCUCCCAAAGCGUAACGGAGGAGCACGAAGGUUAGCUAAUCCUGGUCGGACAUCAGGAGGUUAGUGCAAUGGCAUAAGCUAGCUUGACUGCGAGCGUGACGGCGCGAGCAGGUGCGAAAGCAGGUCAUAGUGAUCCGGUGGUUCUGAAUGGAAGGGCCAUCGCUCAACGGAUAAAAGGUACUCCGGGGAUAACAGGCUGAUACCGCCCAAGAGUUCAUAUCGACGGCGGUGUUUGGCACCUCGAUGUCGGCUCAUCACAUCCUGGGGCUGAAGUAGGUCCCAAGGGUAUGGCUGUUCGCCAUUUAAAGUGGUACGCGAGCUGGGUUUAGAACGUCGUGAGACAGUUCGGUCCCUAUCUGCCGUGGGCGCUGGAGAAUUGAGGGGGGCUGCUCCUAGUACGAGAGGACCGGAGUGGACGCAUCACUGGUGUUCGGGUUGUCAUGCCAAUGGCACUGCCCGGUAGCUAAAUGCGGAAGAGAUAAGUGCUGAAAGCAUCUAAGCACGAAACUUGCCCCGAGAUGAGUUCUCCCUGAGACUAUAAGUCUCCUGAAGGAACGUUGAAGACGACGACGUUGAUAGGCCGGGUGUGUAAGCGCAGCGAUGCGUUGAGCUAACCGGUACUAAUGAACCGUGAGGCUUAACCUUACAACGCCGAAG